ACGAGGUCUUUAACAUACACCAAUAUCGUCAACGAGCAUUUUGUCUAACCCGACAGGACCCAAGGAUGAUUUGACGACAUUCGCAAUUGCGGUCGUUGCCAAAACUAAAAUGUUAAAAGUUAUGAAAAGAAAAUUAACAUACCAUUUUGGUUUCGUACGUCCUCUCCACUGAUUUUUUCACCACUCAAAACUACAACAUGUUAAUAAUUUACC
Non-coding RNA from Schizosaccharomyces pombe (fission yeast), 213 nucleotides. NCBI's taxonomy places the organism in Eukaryota, Fungi, Ascomycota, Schizosaccharomycetes, Schizosaccharomycetales, Schizosaccharomycetaceae. The record is from the annotation of a GenBank genome assembly.